Lates calcarifer (barramundi perch) is the source of this 1464-nucleotide long non-coding RNA. RefSeq lists it as uncharacterized. Lineage: Eukaryota; Metazoa; Chordata; Actinopteri; Centropomidae. The transcript has 2 exons. The record is from RefSeq and is a predicted model, not a curated record.
GACGUCAGGAAAUGUUGAGCAAACGUUUCUGACGACGCAUAAACUCAGAUUACACUCAGACAAUACCUGAACUAAACUGAAUAUAAAGGAGUGAGGACAUUUCAGAAACAGAGGACAUCUGAGGAUGGACUGAUUCAUGAGAAUGUCUCAUUUUGGAAAAACAGGACUGUGUGAAGUGUGUUUUAAUAUCUGUGAAAGGUCCAGAUGUUUUUGAAGAGAAAGGGAAUUUCUGAAAAUUCUGAUGUUUGUGGUUUGUGGGGACAGGUUUAGGAGUUCGGCUGAGGACAACUGUGGAAAGUAAGGACUUUUGAAAACCUGGAUAUGAAACAUGUGAAAUGUACGGAGGAGGACCAUUGAGUGAAAGCCGUCGGCUGGCAGAGCCUCAGCAGCUCCUGGCUCAUCUCUCUCGCUGCCAUCAACGACAAUUAUCAUCAAACCGUUUAACCGACAGCUAAUAAUGAUCCGGGGCACAAACAGCAGCGGCAGUUUAUCUGCUGCUUACAUUACAUCCUGACUGAGCGUCCUGUUCGCUGCGUGGGUUUGAACCCCGGCCAGAGGAACUUGGCAGCCGCGGCUCGAUGGUUAUUAAUAUUCCUAAAGGCCUGAGAAAAUAAACUUCCUGUCAGAGAGGGUUGCCAUGGCGUCUCAGAGUUGACACAGCAGUCCGACUGUAGCCGUCAUUGUUUCUGAUCAGAAGCCCAACCACUCAUUAUAUUUCAAUUUAUGGUUCCUCUUUUCAUAGAUCUUUGUGUUGGUCUGAGAAACAAUCUGUGAGAGGAGAGAAAAGCCCUGAUGGAGACAGGAAGUGUCCCGCUGAGGGACACAACAACAUGUUUGUGUCUCUGAGGACGUUUCUCACCCACAGAAAAAACAAACUGCUGAGCUUUAAUGAGCCAAAAGACUUUUACUGACGAGCUGUUAUAAAGAGAAACAUGCAGCGUGAACAGCACAGCUUGACUCCUGAUCCAUAAUCUAUAAUCAGGCUCAUGUUUUCCACAGUCACAGCGACAAAAACUCCUCACGAUUUCACACGACCUGGAAACACAGAGCUUUACAACUAAAAGACUGAGUUAAAGCAGGAACAGAUUCAGGCUGUGUCUGAGCUGAAUGAAGUUAGAACAGAACAGAAUAGAUCUUUAUUGUCAUUGUUUGAAAAAUAACAAAAGAAGCAGCUCAGGUUGACAGCUCAAGAGAGAGAGACAGAAUAAAAUGAAAUAGAGAUAAACACAGUGAGGUAGUUUAUACCGAGGUUAUCGUGAAAAGUGAGAGAGACAAGAGGUUCUUCCAGUUUUUGGGCUUUAUUACACCUCAGUUCUCACACUGUUUUUUUUAUUUUCAUGCACGUCAAUUCAUUUUUUAAAACUGUUGUUUUUGUCACGAGUUAUCACAGAACAUGAAUAUUAAGCAGUGAAAAAGUGAUUAUUCUCCUGCUUUCUCACCGUAAAUAAACUCAUGAGAAUCAUA